Molecule: transfer RNA, 72 nt
Filed under: Acidobacteriota bacterium
Lineage: Bacteria; Pseudomonadati; Acidobacteriota
Description: Acidobacteria bacterium (activated sludge metagenome) tRNA-Gln
Rfam family: tRNA
About the family: Transfer RNA (tRNA) molecules are approximately 80 nucleotides in length. Their secondary structure includes four short double-helical elements and three loops (D, anti-codon, and T loops). Further hydrogen bonds mediate the characteristic L-shaped molecular structure. tRNAs have two regions of fundamental functional importance: the anti-codon, which is responsible for specific mRNA codon recognition, and the 3' end, to which the tRNAs corresponding amino acid is attached (by aminoacyl-tRNA synthetases). tRNAs cope with the degeneracy of the genetic code in two manners: having more than one tRNA (with a specific anti-codon) for a particular amino acid; and 'wobble' base-pairing, i.e. permitting non-standard base-pairing at the 3rd anti-codon position.
Source: RNAcentral
UCCGGGUUCGUCCAACCGGCAGGACGCUUGACUUUGGAUCAAGAAAUCGAGGUUCGAAUCCUCGACCCGGAG